GUCAAUGCGUGUCUGUGUGAGUGCCCCGCCCCCCCGCUGUGAACGUAUAGGCCCGGCCCCUCCUAUAUAGACUUUACUACACGAACACCGUGUGCUUUCCAUCAGCGCACCAGCCUCAGUCCAUCCCCAAUCAGCCCAGGUCCAGCGCAGUUACAGACCUUGAGAGCUGCACCAGCAGUUCCCUGUCCUUCAACCCACCACAGACCACAGAACCAGACAUGAUCAUCAGACUGGGCAGACUGACACCUGGAUACUUCCGUCUCCUCCAGAGACAAGUGGCUGGCGAGGUGCAGGCCCAGCCACAAGACCGCAUGGUCAACCAGAUCGCCAUGAUGCUGGCCAUCAUGGGCCUGAGCUUGUCCUACUAUAGUGCCAAACAGAUGACCGAGAAGGUUCAGGCUCAGCCAGCGCCCUGAAGAGUCUUCCCGCCACUCCAGUCGGCUUUGGAAAAAAAAAAAAUGGAUGAGCCAAUGAGAAGUGAAGGACUCACCGCGAGGAAGCAGAAACAUGGAGAUGUCAUCCAGACCAGCACUUUUCUCACCUCACAGUCGUAGUCACAAUCUAAGACACUGUAUUUCCUGGCAUCCCUCACCCACCAUGCACACAGAGGUCAGGGCUGCUGCUAGGGUUAUCAAAUUUUAUUUUCUGUUGUUGUUGGGACCUUUUAGGACAGUUGGAAGGGAUGGCGCUUGAGGCCAAUGGUCUCAUGGCCAGACUGUUUCUGAUGGACUGGUUAGGGUGAUCCAACCCAGCUGACUGUGUUCACGCUGGGGCUGCACUUUAGUUGUUGCCAGGGUACAUGCUUGCAAGAUGCCAUCAAUGUUGUUCUGGGCAAUAAAAAAAAAAGGACAAAAAACCUAGACAAAAGUCAGAUUCUUCUAAAGUAACUGUGAAUAUUGCCAAAUGCUCAAAGCAUGCACAAAUAUUGAAGAAUAAAAUGAACAGUAAUGCCCUUUUUAAGGGGAAGGCUCUGCAUUUGAGAUGUACCUAGCGACAAAGUGAAGGCGGACCCAGAACGUUAUCAUUUUUUUUGUUUUGUUUUUGUUUUUAGUUUUUUCUUCCAGUGCGGAAACCCUGCAGAGCCUUGUGAACAGAUAUGUAGCUGUGUUCAACAACCAGGUCAAUAUUCAUACAUGUUAAAUGUCUGUUGGGUGUCAGAGAUACAGUAACCAUAUUUGCACAAUACUGGAGAAACGUGGUAUUUUAUGUUUCUUUUUCUGUAGGUAAUUGUUCAAAUAGAUCUUCCAAAGGGACUUAAUACUAAUCACUACCUACCUUUUUACGUUUUUCUUUUUCUGUGCGUGUGUUAAGAUAGCUGAUGAAGUCUUGUCAGGAUCUGCGGCUGCCUUGAGAAGAGCCCUGGUUCAGAACCAUGUCUGCAGUAUAAACUGCAUGUUGAUGCAAACAUUUAACUUCACUGAACAUUGCAUGGGUGUGCAGAGUUUUAAUCUUCAAAAUUCAUGAUACUGUCACGUUUUUAAUGAUAAAUGAAUGUAUUACUUUGUUUUUGUAACGAUUUAAUAAAGCUGUGAACAUUUUGAAUGAGA
This is a long non-coding RNA of Myripristis murdjan (pinecone soldierfish), 1547 nucleotides long. RefSeq lists it as uncharacterized. The record is from RefSeq and is a predicted model, not a curated record. NCBI's taxonomy places the organism in Eukaryota, Metazoa, Chordata, Actinopteri, Holocentriformes, Holocentridae. The transcript has 3 exons.